Molecule: long non-coding RNA, 1336 nt
Filed under: Anser cygnoides (Swan goose)
Lineage: Eukaryota; Metazoa; Chordata; Aves; Anseriformes; Anatidae
Description: lncRNA (ENSACDG00005009238.1)
Source: RNAcentral
AUGUGUCCCUUUACAGGGCUGAUGCUCUUCUUUCACCUUCCCAGAGUGUUGUGUCUGAAUUUUGAGAAGAAUAGUAAGCUGCCACAGGAACUGGACAGAAAAUCACCAGUUAUAACUGCUGCAAAAGGAACCAAGGCACUUUUGUACUGCCAACCAAAUGUUGUAAGGAACUGAACCCAAUUCCUUCCUGUUGCUGCCUGCAUGGUAUGGCUGCCUGGAGAAAGGAGAGAUUGCAGGUGAGCCAGCCACUGACCCUACUUUCCCUGUUGCGCACGGGCCACCGCUGAGCAGGCUUCAAGCCCUUCUCUGUGCAGGUGCACUUGGUAGCAGCUGAUGCAAGGGGACAGAUGCUGGGAACUGAUUAUGCUGCCAUGUGCCAAACACUAAUAAUCUCUUAUCCACAUUCAGACAGCAGAUAUUAGUAAUUUUAGUUUUGGCGUUACAUUAUGCUAUUUGCAGAUGCCUGAAAUUUUUUGUCAUAAUCACCUGGUAAACUGCACUGUAGAAUGUUUUUCUCAUCUUCUCUCCUGUCACAUUAAGACAGAAAAUAAGUAAGGUGAAGAAAUAGGAAUUUCCCGUUCAAAGAACAGAAGCUUGGAGUUGGAAAUGCAAAGAGAAACAUGUGUUGUGAACAGGAGGGACUUACAGCUGGUGGCUGCUCUGUGAGCAAUACAAGGUCUCAGGGUACUUCCUAGUGAACAGAUGUUGUGCUCCUAAAAUGAGCAUGGCCACAAUUAGUAGACAUGUUGGUAGUCUAGUAGAAUGGUCAGGGAAUACUUAUGUAGAUAGGUGAUCAGUUCAGAUCAUUAAUGGUUUUAUUAAUAAUGUAGGAUUUGCUGUGUUGAACAGCAAAGUGCAGAAACACUGUGACAAAAAAGCACACAAGACUUGAUAUGGCCACUGAUGUUGCAGAGCUUGCUUUGUAAGGCCUUAAUUCUUUGGUACUACUAAAUGAUUGUAAUGCAAAGGGAAAAGUGAAAAUCUUAUGUAUAACACAGGUAGCAGAUAACACUAGUAAAAAUCAGACUUCAGAAAAAAAUAAGGGAUUGUCUCUGUGGGAUAUAAUACUUUUAAAGUAACAGUAAUAGCAAGUAUUUAAUAUCUUGUACCUAUAGGAGUGGUAUUUUUAUUAGUAAACAUUUAAAUAACAAAAUAAUAACAAAUAAUAAUAAUAACAAAAAUAAUAUUUUUAUUAGUAAACGUUUCUAGCUGUUUAAUUUAUUAUUGGUUUCAGGCUUUUCUUCUCCACACCCUUGCUCCCUUGGUAGAAACUUAUCUUCCAUGACAACAAAAAUCUAUAAAUAAAUUCCAUCAUAGGAGAAUAAAUGGAAACUAA